Molecule: ribosomal RNA, 248 nt
Filed under: uncultured Cutibacterium sp.
Lineage: Bacteria; Bacillati; Actinomycetota; Actinomycetes; Propionibacteriales; Propionibacteriaceae
Description: partial 16S ribosomal RNA
Rfam family: Bacterial small subunit ribosomal RNA
Source: RNAcentral
CGUAGGGUGCGAGCGUUGUCCGGAUUUAUUGGGCGUAAAGGGCUCGUAGGUGGUUGAUCGCGUCGGAAGUGUAAUCUUGGGGCUUAACCCUGAGCGUGCUUUCGAUACGGGUUGACUUGAGGAAGGUAGGGGAGAAUGGAAUUCCUGGUGGAGCGGUGGAAUGCGCAGAUAUCAGGAGGAACACCAGUGGCGAAGGCGGUUCUCUGGGCCUUUCCUGACGCUGAGGAGCGAAAGCGUGGGGAGCGAAC